UUGACAGCCCUGGGAGACUGAAGUCCUCUGUUUAUCCACAGAACAAAUACAACAUGGGCAGUAAAAAUGCAAGCUUCCACAAACUGCCCUACCAAUGUGUGUCAUCCCUCAUCUGCAUUGCUAGUGGGAAUGUUUGGGGAGUGGGAGGGUAUUUUAGUUUCCAUGGCCAUUCAAUCUGUGGCCUUU
Molecule: small RNA, 186 nt
Filed under: Chrysemys picta bellii (western painted turtle)
Lineage: Eukaryota; Metazoa; Chordata; Testudines; Emydidae
Description: TUC338 (ENSCPBG00000018442.1)
Source: RNAcentral